RNAcentral lists this ribosomal RNA (449 nucleotides) under uncultured bacterium. RNAcentral's name for it is "partial 16S ribosomal RNA". It matches the Rfam family "Bacterial small subunit ribosomal RNA", at positions 29 to 523 of the family's 1533-position model. The record is from RNAcentral.
AGCGAACGCUGGCGGCAGGCCUAACACAUGCAAGUCGAACGAAGUCUUCGGACUUAGUGGCGGACGGGUGAGUAACACGUGGGAACGUGCCCUUUGGUACGGAAUAACUCAGGGAAACUUGAGCUAAUACCGUAUGUGCCCUUCGGGGGAAAGAUUUAUCGCCAUUGGAGCGGCCCGCGUCUGAUUAGCUAGUUGGUGAGGUAAAGGCUCACCAAGGCGACGAUCAGUAGCUGGUCUGAGAGGAUGAUCAGCCACAUUGGGACUGAGACACGGCCCAAACUCCUACGGGAGGCAGCAGUGGGGAAUCUUGCGCAAUGGGCGAAAGCCUGACGCAGCCAUGCCGCGUGAAUGAUGAAGGUCUUAGGAUUGUAAAGUUCUUUCACCGGGGACGAUAAUGACGGUACCCGGAGAAGAAGCCCCGGCUAACUUCAUGCCAGCCGCCGCAGUAA